This is a long non-coding RNA of Pavo cristatus (Indian peafowl), 1565 nucleotides long. The record is from Ensembl. NCBI's taxonomy places the organism in Eukaryota, Metazoa, Chordata, Aves, Galliformes, Phasianidae.
AUGGUCUUUCCCGAGCUUUCCUGGUUUAGCAGGUGGCUUUGGACCUGCCUUGCCCUGUGCUUUACUUCUUCCUCCUUAAGAUGCAGAGUCGUCCCCUCGCGACAUCUCAAAGGCAGGAUUUGCAUGUCUGCAAGGUCCAGAAGGGAGCUGAGAAGGACCUGGCUCGAGUCACCAGAAGAAGGACAGAGCUGUGACCUGCUGACGCAAGCAGACAGAAGCAGCUCUUCCACUGAGGAAACCCUGGACUAUCGGAGAGGCAGAGUCAACGAUCAGAGUGACGUGCAGUGUAACAUCAGCAGAAGUUAUUAGUGCCCACAUGCAAUUUAUGAGUGCAAUCAAAUAUGUGGAUGACAAGAAGUUGGGGAAAAGCUGCAGUAUCCCAGGAAACAAUCUGCAUUAUUAAGAACAUAACUCUGGUAAGAGUAUGAUUAGCAUACAAAACUGCAGACGCUUCACUUCGAGAUCCUCCUCAAUGUCUCUUCUUCAGAACAGGAAGCAUAUUUAAGCCCAUUAGAGACUGAACUCUAUUUUGAGGUUUCACAAAUAUGCUUCCAAGGAAGUGGGCAGAAACAUAUUGAUAGAGGAGCAUGCAAAGCUGAAAGUGAUAUUCGUGCAGUAAUUCUUCUGCAGUCAUUGGGGUGGGUUUGGUGGGCUUCGAUAGCAUCAGACUGGGGCUCUUCUGGCUCAUUUAUUACACACUAGUUCUGUAUGUUCAUCCAUAGUUUCAAAUGGCCUAGAAACAGCUAUCUCCAAAGCUAGUCUGUCAUUACUGUUGGUAUACAAGCCACAUUUGUCAGAAGCUUUCUUAAAAGUUGCAUAGUUGGUGAAGUCUCUUGAACCUUAGGAGAAUUCAAGUGUAGACUACAUUUGUUUUAAGGUUUGGAUCCCUGUUGCAUGGUAACGCCUAAUGAAAUUGGGGCUGGGGAAAGAAAUACGACCAUGGAAUUUUGUCUGUUCAGAUUUACCAUUCAAACUUCUCUUACAAAGGAAAGAAUCUUCUCAUACAUCGUUGCAGCUCAGCAAAGCACCUAAAUAGAUAAUUUGCAUUUGCUAAGAGCGGUCCUUCAAGUACAGCAAAAAAUGCACAGAAGGACCUGGGAAUAUGUUAGCAAGUAACCUCUGCUGUUAAAACCCAACUUUUCUAUGUACUUAGUAGUAGACAGACCCUGAAGUAGAGAGUUCAUGGCCUAAAGACUCUUUAAAUUGUUUCCUUAUAAGAAGUCCUUAUGCUCCUCCUGAUAUCCUCUAGCCAGACAUAUUAGCAGAAAUGUUAAAUAAUCAAACCUCUGCUUUUGCAGAAAAUUUCCCUUCUAGUGCCUUUACAAAGCAUCAGGAAAAUGCUGAUUGUUGACUCAUUGUUAUUGAAGUAGAAAAUGUAAAUGCAAUUAUUAAGAAAUGCUCUCAAGGAUUUAUUGUGACAGAAAGUGUUUUUGUGUUCUAAGUGUAUUUUCAGCUGUGGUUUAAAACACAGGACAACCUUUCUAAGAGAUCUGGGGAAAUAACACACUUUAAUAGUAACUCCAAAAAGCAAGCCUUGCUUUUGAUAAGAGCUAAGGAAAUGAUGA